GAUGAGGACAUUACUUCCUCUGGAACAGAAGGGCAACAGGCCAGGAAGGAAAUACAGGAUUUAUUUGAAGAAUUUGAAGAGCCCAUUAAGCACUUCCUUGAGGGGAACAGAGAAAGAUUCACAGCGAUCAUCGCUGCCUCUUUCGAAACCAUGGAGCAGAAAGUUGAGGAUGUUCUCAAAAGACAGUGUGAACAAAGG
Molecule: long non-coding RNA, 198 nt
Organism: Phodopus roborovskii (desert hamster)
Lineage: Eukaryota; Metazoa; Chordata; Mammalia; Rodentia; Cricetidae
Exons: 3
Source: RefSeq, a predicted model, not a curated record